UCAUCCCUUCUUUUCCUCCACUUACCAACAUCAUCAUCAUCAACAUCUCUCACAAAAAGACUCAUGUUUUAAUGUUUUAUGCAUAUAGGAAUGAAAACACAGUUUUUGUUUUACAAACAUGUUGUUACUCUAAAAAUUCUAAUUCUAAUCACUAACUUUUCAACCAAACCAAUUAACCUCGAACCAAUAUACUCUCUAAAACUUCUUGUUCUCAUGUCUCAAGUCCCAAUCAUAUCCUACCAA
RNAcentral lists this long non-coding RNA (243 nucleotides) under Lupinus angustifolius (narrow-leaved blue lupine). Its description in RNAcentral is "long non-coding RNA (LANG_LNC000519)". Lineage: Eukaryota; Viridiplantae; Streptophyta; Magnoliopsida; Fabales; Fabaceae. The record is from RNAcentral.